Molecule: ribosomal RNA, 416 nt
Filed under: bacterium Ellin6050
Lineage: Bacteria; Pseudomonadati; Pseudomonadota; Alphaproteobacteria; Hyphomicrobiales; Nitrobacteraceae
Description: bacterial SSU rRNA
Rfam family: Bacterial small subunit ribosomal RNA
Source: RNAcentral
AGCGAACGCUGGCGGCAGGCUUAACACAUGCAAGUCGAGCGGGCGUAGCAAUACGUCAGCGGCAGACGGGUGAGUAACGCGUGGGAACAUACCUUUUGGUUCGGAACAACACAGGGAAACUUGUGCUAAUACCGGAUAAGCCCUUACGGGGAAAGAUUUAUCGCCGAAAGAUUGGCCCGCGUCUGAUUAGCUAGUUGGUAGGGUAAUGGCCUACCAAGGCGACGAUCAGUAGCUGGUCUGAGAGGAUGAUCAGCCACAUUGGGACUGAGACACGGCCCAAACUCCUACGGGAGGCAGCAGUGGGGAAUAUUGGACAAUGGGGGCAACCCUGAUCCAGCCAUGCCGCGUGAGUGAUGAAGGCCCUAGGGUUGUAAAGCUCUUUUGUGCGGGAAGAUAAUGACGGGUACAACAAGAAU